AACGAAAGAGACACUUUACAAGCAUAAAUAAUUUUUAUUUCUGUUUUCUCCUUUUCAUUCCCUUCUGCUUCUUUAAUUUUUUAUUUCCGUGUUUUGUAGGUUACUUUCUUUUAUGUAUCUAUCUUGGGGAAUUUUUUAUUUGGAAAUUUCGGGCUGUAUUUGACGUUGGAAAUUGCACGGUAGCGAAUAGUGUGAGAGUUCAAAUGAGAUUGCGAGUGUGGGCGAAUUCGUAACAGAGCGAGUCAAUACUAUCGAAAAACGAGAGUUUGGUGGUCCACUAGUUGCGCGGAAAUAUGUAUACUUACAUUCGUUCAUAAGUACUAGAACACUUACAGGAGAAUAAGGAAAACUCUGACAGACCAUUAGAAAUCUAUUAAUCCUCGUUUAGAACUUCGUUAGACUGUAACGAAUUCAUACUUUUUUGACUUCAAGUUUCAUAUAAUAAAUUUAAAUGAUUAAUUAUUACAGUGUACAAAAUUAGCAAAUGUCCUAAUAUUUAUGAACCGAAGUAUAUGUAAUGUAAUUAUGCUGCUCAAAACAGUCGGGAGAUUGAGUUUUGAAAUAACUGAAAUAAAUGAAACAUAAUAUUUUUCUCGGGGAUCCAAUUUAUAUGAAACUG
Long non-coding RNA from Bombus huntii, 619 nucleotides. RefSeq lists it as uncharacterized. The record is from RefSeq and is a predicted model, not a curated record. The transcript is spliced from 2 exons. Lineage: Eukaryota; Metazoa; Arthropoda; Insecta; Hymenoptera; Apidae.